Long non-coding RNA from Episyrphus balteatus (marmalade hoverfly), 1474 nucleotides. RefSeq lists it as uncharacterized. The record is from RefSeq and is a predicted model, not a curated record. The transcript is spliced from 2 exons. NCBI's taxonomy places the organism in Eukaryota, Metazoa, Arthropoda, Insecta, Diptera, Syrphidae.
AUGGGAGAUAUAUUUCGUGUUGAAAAUGUGUCAAAAAAAAAAACAAAAACAUUUCAAAAUUCCAUAAAAUCCUCUUUUACGGUAAGAAUUUCAUCCCCCAAGUCAUACAUGAAUCAUGGUAUCCAGUGAUGAAAUCCUCAAAUUUUUUUUGUUUUUUUUUUAUUUUUUUCUCAAGCUUCAGGAUUCAACUUCCUUGUACAAGUUUUCAUUGAAAACAACCCCACCUGAGAUAAAAACAAAAAACACUCAAAGAAACAAGUAGUGACAAUCAAGAACUCAACAAAAAGUAAAAAAAAAAAAAAACUUUCAUGAAUCUUCUUCUGAUGAAAGACACAACAACAAGAAAAACCCUGCAAUUUAAUCCCCGCAAUAAACAAAGAAAAAAACUUGUUCAACAAAACAAUAAAAUUAAAUUGGCCUAAAAGAAAAUCUUAUAAAGGAGAAAAUUCAUCCUGCAACAACUCUAAGCAAAGACAUACAAAAAAAAACUAACUAAAAAAAAAAGAGACACAAAAUGUCACGGUGAAAAAGAAUGGAAUCAUAAUUCAUAUCCUUGACACUUGAAACUCCGUUCUGUCUCAAAAUCAUCUCUCACUUCAAACAAGAAAAAAAAAAUAACAAAAAAAAAAACUUUUAAAAAAAAUCAACCUCCAGCUGACUUCGUUCGACUGAAUCCUGGAUUCAACAACACAAUCAAGCAAGAAAAAUCCACUCGCUGAUGCUGCUGCUUUAGCUUUAUCCUUGUGCUUCUUCUCUCCUUCAUACAAUAAAAUAUCUGUGUGAUAUCCCCAGGGCGGAUAUAAGACUCGACUCGAGACACCGUGUACCUAGUACCUACCUCUGCUGCAGAUGAUGACGAUGACGAGGAUGAUGAUAGUGAUGUUAUAUAGGCGCAUUGCACUUAUAAUACUCUCAAACUUGCAUAGUAAUACGCUGUAUAUACAACAGGGCCACAAGAGGAGAAGAAGAAUAUACUUUAAGGACAAUACCGCAGAGUUAACCCCGCGACAACUCAUCCCCCUUUUUGAAUAAUUCAAAAUAAAAACUUUAUCCAACGGAUUUGCCUGCCCCCUCCCCUUUUUUUUGAAGCUCUCCAUGACAGAAAAAGCAAAAAUACAUAAAAGACACACCAAGGACCUACGCGAGACUAAUGCGGAUUGCGAUUGCGGCAACCUCUUGUUCAGCAGAUGAUGAUGGGCUGUCUUCUCUUCUGUAUAAUGACGAGUUCACUUGUUUCCGUUAGCCCCAAGAGCGUGUUGUACAACUUAUACCACACACUAAAAUGACGACAAAACACAAAAAAAAAACAGUUUUUGUACUUACAUUAAAUUUCUUGUAGUGCUCCAGUGUGGUAUCCUUUUUGAUGUCCUGUGUGUUGAUUCCGCCGGCAACACUUCAAAUCCGAACAUUAAAUUUCCAUAACGUUUUGAAUAUUUGACGAUUGACUAAUAACUGUCAACAUUGGCUUUCCAAC